UCGGGAAUUUUGGGCAAUGGGCGAAAGCCUGACCCAGCAACGCCGCGUGAAGGAUGAAGUAUUUCGGUAUGUAAACUUCGAAAGAAUAGGAAGAAUAAAUGACGGUACUAUUUAUAAGGUCCGGCUAACUACGUGCCAGCAGCCGCGGUAAUACGUAGGGACCAAGCGUUGUUCGGAUUUACUGGGCGUAAAGGGCGCGUAGGCGGCAAUUCAAGUCAUCUGUGAAAUCUCCGGGCUUAACUCGGAACGGUCAGAUGAUACUGCUUUGCUAGAGUGCAGAAGGGGCAAUCGGAAUUCUUGGUGUAGCGGUGAAAUGCGUAGAUAUCAAGAGGAACACCUGAGGUGAAGACGGGUUGCUGGGCUGACACUGACGCUGAGGCGCGAAGGCCAGGGGAGCAAACGGGAUUAGAUACCCCAGUAGUCCCUGAGCGGGCUGGCAAGGCGCAU
Molecule: ribosomal RNA, 447 nt
Filed under: uncultured bacterium
Lineage: Bacteria
Description: bacterial SSU rRNA
Rfam family: Bacterial small subunit ribosomal RNA
Source: RNAcentral